Long non-coding RNA from Pipra filicauda (Wire-tailed manakin), 7726 nucleotides. RefSeq lists it as uncharacterized. The transcript is spliced from 3 exons. NCBI's taxonomy places the organism in Eukaryota, Metazoa, Chordata, Aves, Passeriformes, Pipridae. The record is from RefSeq and is a predicted model, not a curated record.
AGAGGAGAGAGGCCUGCAGGCUCCUGGUGGGGGGGCCGUCUUCCCCCCUUCCUUCCCCCCCUUUUUCCCCCUCCGACCGACCUGCAGGGGAGCCCAGAACAGUAUUAUAACUGGACUGGGUGCCUGUGGCCAAAGGCUAGGGAGUUUUUAUCCCCCACUGCCCAGGAGAGGCGGUGGUGUGCACUUGAGAGGCCAGUCAGGGGGUUGGAGCUAGCCCCACCGCCCCAGCAGGCAGGCAUGGCAUUGGAGUCAAGCCAGAGAUGGGCCAAGGGGUGGCCCGGGAGCUGCAGAAGCAGUGGAGAUCAUGCAGAGCUGGAAGAAUUCCAGGCAGAGGAUGAGAGAAAGACUUCAAGCAAUCUCGCUACCACUUUCCCCCACACACAAUGGCGGAGGAGGGAGCGACCCGAGCUGAGACUGGAGAAACACGGAGACAGGCCGAGGGGCUCGGAAGUGCCCUCGUGGUUUGGACAGGGGCAGCCAAAAACCGAAGGAGGAAUGCGGGAGGGAGGAAUACCUCCCCGUGACAUGUGAAAGUUGAGCUGAAGCUGCAGCAGCUGAAACAGAGAGAAGCCAAACCAAGCAGGCUUUUUCUGGGACUGUCUCGAUCAAUACACUUGAGAUCUUUUACAAAAGCAGUGUGCCAGAUUCUCUAAACAGCAUGGAAGAAAAGCUAGCAGAGAGAGAGUUAAUUCCACAGGCAGAAAAAGUUUUCUUUCAGCAUGAAUGCAUUUACGUUGCAACAGAGAAUGAGGCAUAUAUCCCUGAUGACAAGGUUCAUGCACAGCAAAGCUAAGUAUCAGACAACAGUUAACCUACAUUUACGUUUUGAAAUCAUCCUUUGCUCAUUGCAUCCAUCAGGAACUUUUAAACUUAGAAACAUUUUUCUUCCAGGGUAGAAAGAAAAUCGUCAGAAAAAAAUAAAUUCCCUGGAGUUGUCAAGUGAAUGCCUCUGCUAAAUUCAAAUUUAUAUCUCUACAGUGAAAGUCUCUUCUAUGACUCAAACUUGCUCUCUUGUUACAUCUUGUUACAUCAAUAUCAAAUGGAUUUGGUAUAUACAAAAAUAGAUGGCCUCUCUCUGAGGUAUUUGCCAAUGUAGUGUCACUGCAAUGUGUGCUAUAUUAGAGAUUAGCUUGUUAGCAGGAGAGGGAAAGUAAAAUUGAGAAAAGUACAAUUAGAACAAGGUUAUCUGGUUUUACUGUUUUGUGUGACAUGACAUUUUACUUUUCUCAUUUUUGAGUUCACAAUGUGAAAUGUGCACAUCAUACACAGAGUCCUUAUUGUCUACUAAAACUGCAGUGGAUCAUUUUCCAAAAAUCAAAAUCUUAAAAAUCCUUUCAGUGAAAACAUAUUAUGGCAGAACUAAUAAGUAAAAAUAAUGUACAAAGAGAUAAGUCUAAAUAAAUCAUACAGAUCUGUGGAACUAAAUAUGUAGCAUAAUGUAUAUUUCAGCAAAUAUUCACCAAAAGUGAAACCUUUAUAUGUUUUGUGCCCUUGAACUUUCAGUAUAUUAUUUUAAACAUGAUGGAAAACACAGGACCUACCUCAAAUAUUAAUAUUCAUUACUGUGGCAGCUUAGUCAGAACAAAUCAUACACAACUGUAUGGGAUCUAAAGAAGAAUCUAAGUUUGAAGAUGGCUUCACAGAGAGCUCUGGGGAGAAAGUCUUAUGGAUCCAUAGAAGUCCUUACAGUACUUCUUUAGCUUUAAUGUUUACAUUAUUAAAAUGCAAGAGGCUAUUAAUAUCACUAAAAAAUGGUGAACAGACAUGAACCAAAGAACCUUUUAAUCCAUUUCCUGAGUUGUAAAUAAAGACCUUUAUGUACAGCUACUGAAGGAAAUGUAAAAAGCCAACUACUGUAUAAUCUUAAUUGGGUUACUCAGAAUCUCUAACAGAGCUAUCAUCACAGGCUGUAUAAAUCAAAAAUAAUAGCAUCUAUAGGAAAGUGAUCUACAUCUAAAGAGGAUGUCUUUGUUCCCUAAGGUGGUAAAAUUACGUUUAGAUAUUUCUGAUAGAAAUAUGCAGCAUACACCUAAAUAAAAAUCUCACAGGGAAAGCUUCCUGGAUAAAAAAUUUCUAAUGAACUGACUCUAUCCUUCUCUUUUAGUGUUUUAGACCAGUUAGUGCUAUUGCCUUCUUUUUCUCUGCCUGCACUUUGUUGAUAGGUGAAGACUUUAGCAAUACUAGCUGGAUAGUGCAUCUUAAGAUACCAUGAUGAACCAUUAAUAUUUUCUAUAUAAGUCAAGUAACUCUGUAAGUAGUUAAAGUAUUUUAACUUUAGAUAAAGAUUUCCAUGAGGUCUGUCUCUACCAAAUAUAUCCUUUGGCUAAUGAGAGUAGCUGCUAGGUUUGUCCUUGGGAGUCAAGAGCUUGGUUAUACUGUUGGCUCUACAGAAAGUAUUUAAAGAAAAUCUUCAAAUUCUAACUACAAUAAACUUCUUUUGCAAUAUAUUUGUAUGUGUUUGUUCUCCAGUUUUUUCAAGACCUCCAUAAGAAACCAAUACAAAAAUGACUGUACACAUGGAUUAUGCCUUCAGCAAUUUUUUAUAAUGUUAGGUGCUGUUUAACACAAAAAGAAAACAUUAAGGCCAUUCUGUACAGUUUGAGGUGGUUGUACAGGAGAUAAAAAUUCCUCUUAUCCUUUAUCUUUAGAACAUUGUAAAGUUGAAUUAAAUAAAGCCUACAAGGUACUCUGAGAUACUUUACUUACAAGUUGAAUUUAUUCAGAUUUUUUCUAUUUUAACAUUAAAGACAACAAAUCUAGUUAUAUUCAGCACCAUAAAGGUAAUAGUAGAUAGGAAUCUGACUUCUUGUCUGACCCUUAUUUGUACACGUUUUUGAAACACAGAGCUAAAUCUACCAGUUCAAUACUCUUGAAUAAAAUACUACAGAAAUUUUCUCAAAAAUCUUCUCAAGUCAUAUAGGUUCUGACAUAAAAUGAAUUUUAUUUUUGAUUUUGGGGUCUUUGGUUAUUGUUGAGAAUUAAUAAAAUUAUUAUAAUGGUUUCUAGCAUUCACAAAAAAUAAAUAACAAAUUUAGAAUAUGUGACUAAAUUAUUACACCUCAUAUCAUGCAGGUAACGUGAGUUCACCAGAUAUAUUCUGUUUUGGUGAAAAUCUAUCAUUAUCAGUUUUUUCACUGAAGAUGUGCAAAUUAAAACUCUCAGUAUUCAGAAAGCUGCAAAAGUGGAUUUCCCCGGGGCUGUGAGUGGCUUCUGGUUACCUUCCCUCCCAUUACCAACAGCUGCUAUGGCUCAUGCAUCUGUAUCAAGCAGUGUGAUCACAGCAGUGCUCCUGCCUAAGGGUCCUCUCAUUCAGCUUCAUAUACCUUUUUGCUAAAGCAUGUGCUUAGAGACAUCAGAAUGCCUCAUAACGACAGAUUCUGUCAGAACCUUUAUGCCUACAUAAAGAUUAAGUUGUAGCCUGAAAUCAGUGUGUAAAAAGCAAGCCUGCUUAAUGGAAAUACAAAGCCACCCUGCCCAAAAUUAUGCUUUCCCACAGCUUUUCUUUUCUGACAUACUCAUCGGCAAAGGUUGAACACCUCCACUACUGCAGGAACAAAUAAAAGAAAAUUAAGGAUGGCCUUCUUGUCACCAGCCAGCUCCAGCUUAGCUGGGAGGUUAUCAUUCAAAGGGGCAGGACAGGGCAACUUUCAAAGAAUGCAAAUGCUCUGAUUAUGCACAGGUCAGAGGUGACAACAGACAGAGCCUCUUUCAUGUUGUGAUCAUCUACUAGAAACUAUUGUGUCAUAAAAGAGACCUUCACCACAGAUAUAUAAACUUGAAUUUAGCAGAAGCAUUCACUCAACAAACGCCAGGGAAUUUAUUUUUUGUACCAAAAUCUCACUAAAAUAGAGGUUGUCUUUAUGUCAAGAUAGUUGUUGAUUACUAUUAUGAAUCCAUAUACCAUUUUUCUCCUUUGAUUUAGGAGAAAAUAGCCAUACUAUUUAGAGAAAGCUGAAAUAAUAAAAUAUGUAGUUGUAAGAAUUACUCAUUAGCUUUAAAAACUACUGUGUAUUUAGGAGACAGGCAAACACAGAAACAAAACACCUUUGUAAUCUGAAUAUUGUAGCUUUCAUUAUCUCACUCUGCCUUUAUUCUUUCCUUUCCUUGACUGAUCUACUAAUUCUCUGAUUAAAAGUCCAAUAAUAGAUCUUCAUUUAUAAUGACUUCUCUAGAACAUUUAUGCCAACAUCUUUACACAAAAGAGUAGUCAGAUUGGCAGCUCCGUGGGGCUGGGAUUCUUUUCUGGUCUGGCUAGUGAGACACUUUCCUACAAAGCCUAUGGUGUUUGAUUAAAAAUAAUAUUGUUGUGUAAAUACAGCAGCAACAAACAGAAGGGAUGUUUGUUAGUAGAAGUAGGAAUUCAGUCUACCCAAGUGCCCUGCAAUUUGCAAGCAGUGCAAACAGAAACACGGGGACCUGUUGAGACAGGAUGUGCUGAUCUGUCAGACAGACUGUCUUGGCUUGAAUGGGUGGACCUCAUUUGGAAAUACCUUCCUAUCAGGAUUUUUCAUCACUAUUCUUUGGAGUCUAAACAGAAUUCAAAGAGAAACAAAAGAGUUGUAGAAAUCUGUCUCUGAUUCUUUAUCAUAUACCCACAGAGCAAUCAUAUACAACUCUUCUAAUAAAGCACUUUUGGGUUUUUUCUUGCAGCUGAUGUUUGGUACCUAUGUGCGUAUUUUGACAAAAAUUAGACUGAUGCCCUCUCAAGAACAACUACCAAUAGAAUUUUAUUUUCAUUAAAGCAACGAAACCUUACAUAAUCCUAUGAGGAACAAAGACCCUUUUAUUACUGCAGAAAUCCAUAACAGCUUACCUCUUUAAGGAAUGUCACCUCAUUAGCCAUAAGACAUUUUCUGAGAGACCACAAUUUCAUCAGCUGGGAAGAAGAAAAAGGUCAGUUUGUAACCUUGCCUCAGAACCCAACUUGCAAAUCCAUCAGUAAAAAGGAGAAAGAAACGUUAGUGAAUACACCCACUUCCCACAGAUUUGAUGACUGAUCAUGCAUUUUCACAUAGAGCCAAAUGUAUGACAUAAACAGCUGCCUUGGCAGAACACACAGUCUCCCCUCUAGCACACACUGUUGGCAUGCAUAUGCCAAUUAAGUGUAUAUUAGCCUCUCAUAAAGCUUCCAUCUACUUCAAAACAAAACAGGACUCCACCAAACAGUUCUAAGGGUACUCAACUUCCCCUAAAAGUACAGCUGCAAAGUGAAGGGUUCAGACUUGGCUUUAUUGUCAUUUAUUUCAAGAAUAUCUGUUGUCAUUAAAUUCAAGAGAUUGUUACUGGAAAUUUUCUACACACUUUUUUCACAUUCUGUCUCUGAGGUGUUGACCUCAAUUUAAUUCAGACAAUGAAGUACGACUAGCAAGAAAACAACUGAUGCUGCCUUUGCUUGGUGUGUUUUUCCUUUACUAUCUAAUUUGCAGAACUGGCAUCAACGUGACAGAAAUUGCACUGAUGACUUCCAAAACCCCACAAAAUAGCUAGAGUUGCAUAAUGCCCUUCAUUACAGACACAGUCCCUGGAGAACAAACCAUCCUAGUCUUGCUGUAAAAUUCCUGACUUUGUGCUUCCAUUCAUCUAUCAUGCCUGGAACUGCAUUCAUGGGACUAUGAGAGUUACUGCAAACAAUUUCUGCCUGUGUGCCAUGUCUACUGUGACUCCUUUGGUGGGAAAGCUGAGCAAGUGAGCUCAGUGAAAAAAACAGCAAAAACAGUGCCCUUCUCACCUAGGGGAAGGAAGAGUCAAUGCAAAGGCAGAGGGUGAUCAAGAAAAGGCUCCUGGAGUCCAUAGGAACAGCUGCAAACGGAAUUAGCAAAGUAAGCACAAGGGGAAGAGAAAAUUGCACUGAUUGUGGGAAUGAAAGUGCAGCUAUUGCAGAAAACCAACAUCAGUAGGUGACAAGAGACUGCUCUGGCUUGCACAACUGGGCAAGACUGGGAAACAUUUUGAUGCCAUAAUGAAGUUUAAAUUUUUGGAGCUUCACUGUAUUCUAUACUUGCAUGGGCUGAAAGACUUCCUGCCACUGCAAAGAUUCAUUUUAACACUGUGCAGUAAGAGAUAGAUACCUGUGAAACAGACCACUGUGUCAUUUGGGACAACAAACAACUUUAAGGAUCUACAUAGAUGUUCUUGUUUAAAGAUAUUCAGUUUUAGAUUGUCUUGUUAACAAGAAAUAUGCACUUAACAGACUGUAAGAAUCCAAUAAGCAUGCAGAUUUAAGGAAUUAUCAAUCAUGUCACUUAAAAUUCAAAGAUUUGGUCGUUUCUGGUUUUGUUUAAGCUAUACUAUUUACUGAUAAAUUUAAAGUGCUUUUUAAUUAAUAUCUGCAUUGAGAAAAGGUAGGCCUGUUUGAACAGCUCUCUCAUCUUGCAUACAGAGAUCCAUAAAGAACAACACUACCAUGGCCUCUUUUUCAUUGAUGUAUUUCUUUAAGGAAAAGUUUUAAUUGUAGCAUUAAUGACAGUAAAUAAUCUCUUAAGUGCCUUUAUAUAUAAUUUUCUUAUUCACAGUGAAGUGCACAGCAACAUUAGCAACCCUCUAAAAUUCAGCAUACUUUGAAAAUAUUAUCUGCUGCAUCUUUUAAUGUCCAAGUUUCAAGUUCUACUAAUCUAUUCCACAUUUCUUUACCUUAGCUUGCCUAUACAUUACACUUUUAAUGUUGGUUGGGCACUCCAGAACAGCACAUACCUUUCGGACACAGCAAUAUCACAUAUCACAUAGACAAGCAUAUCACAAGUGAUAAAUGUCGCUUCAGGUGCUUUUUAGUUGUUGAGUCUAAAAUUUAAAGUCAAAUAGACUUGUAAGAUUCAUAUGUAAAGCAUGAUUGUGAAGGGACCCAAAACCACUUAGAAAUUAGACUUUAAAAGAUGCUCAGACCCUGUUAAAAAGGUCAGGUAAAACUUGAAGAGGAAGAGUGCAAAGAAAGGGGAAAAUCAGUUAACAGAGAAUCCAGGGAGCACUUCUCUAAAGGGUUCAAAUAAAAAAAUUCUGUAUGCUAUUGUGAUAUGAAACUUCAGUGAUUCAAUGCAAUAAUCAGAGUUGCAGGAGUCUCUUUUUAUUAUGAAGAAUGUUUAUGUGAUGAGCAAAACACAAAGAGAAAGAAACAGCUAAAGAAUACUUGAUGGGCAUUUUAAUCUUCUAUUAAUAUGCAAAUUUUGUUCUUUAGGACUCUAGGAAAAAAUAUGUUUUUUUCAUAGGCUAUUUAAAAGUGUCUGACUCUCCCAGAGGCGCUUCUUGUAUGAAUCCAAGUGAAACACUCUAUUUAUGGUAAUUCCCCAGAUACUACUGUAUGCACUAUUUUCUUUUUGAAAUUAUAUGGAGUUUACUGAACCACAUUUGUAAAACAUUCCACAGCUGAUUUCAUUCUAAAGAUCUCCUCGAAUAGAGCCAAAUCCCCUGUUGAUCUGUGUCGUAUGAGGAUGAUAAGAAAAUCAUCUUCGACCAUGAGAGAAGAAAUGAAAAAGUCAGUAUGAAAAUUUGGAUAAGAGUUUCUGAUCAAAAAAUGGAUAAUUUUGUCUUCAUAAUCAUCUGUAGUCACAUAUGUGUCCCUGAAAACACAGAAAAAUAUUUUCCUUAUUAUAUGCCAUUCUUCAGAAGAAAGGCAGGUUUACUGCUGGAAUAACAUCAUUAUUGUUAUAUAUUCAGAAGUGCUUUUCCUGAUUUCCUUUAUACCUACUUAUAAGCAUUACUGUCAUAGUGAAAAAUAAAAAUAAACCCUGCAAAA